UGUUUUCCUUGGCUAUGCACAUUUCAUCUGGCCUUGAAAUCUGUUUCUGGAAGGCCAACUGCUUCCCAGGAGGUUGUGAGCUGAGCCAAAGCAAACUGGCAGGACAGCAAAGGUCCCAGGACACUUUGUCUGUGGAGCCAAGACCAUUCCCCGGAGCUGGGUGCCAGCCUCCUGCCCCAGAGGCCUCAUUCUCACAUCUUUCAGGCAGGGAGGGGGCUCGGUGAGAUGCCACAGAGGAGAGAGAGGGGCAUGGGGCAGUGUAACAUGCAAGAACAGGACCAAGGGGCAGCUUUGGGCCCCUGCACAUUGUAUGCAAAUCCUGAACUUUUGGGUUGGCCAAAAUAUUCCUUCAGGUUUCUCCAUAAGAUACUAUGGAAAAACCCAAAUGAACUUUUUGGCCAACCCAAUACUUCAUGAAGGAAAUAAAGCCCUUGUAAAAAAUG
Molecule: long non-coding RNA, 443 nt
Organism: Bubalus bubalis (water buffalo)
Lineage: Eukaryota; Metazoa; Chordata; Mammalia; Artiodactyla; Bovidae
Exons: 2
Source: RefSeq, a predicted model, not a curated record